CGAGUCGACCGGGCGGCCGCGGCGGUGCGCAGCACCGACGAGGAAAGUCCGGACUCCGCAGGGCAGGGUGGUUGCUAACGGCAACCCGAGGUGACUCGCGGGACAGUGCCACAGAGAAGAGACCGCCCGGCCUCACGGCCGGGUAAGGGUGAAACGGUGGUGUAAGAGACCACCAGCACCCCGGGUGACCGGGGUGGCUAGGUAAACCCCACCCGGAGCAAGGCCAAGAAGGGGUCGCGAGACCCUUGCGCAGACGUUCGAGGGCUGCCCGCCCGAGUCUGCGGGUAGGCCGCACGAGCCUGCCGGCAACGGUAGGCCUAGAUGGAUGGUCGCCGCCCGAGACGCGGGUCUCGGGAUACAGGAUCCGGCUUAAACGUCGGCUCGCCCG
Molecule: RNase P RNA, 388 nt
Filed under: Actinokineospora terrae
Lineage: Bacteria; Bacillati; Actinomycetota; Actinomycetes; Pseudonocardiales; Pseudonocardiaceae
Description: Bacterial RNase P class A
Rfam family: Bacterial RNase P class A
About the family: Ribonuclease P (RNase P) is a ubiquitous endoribonuclease, found in archaea, bacteria and eukarya as well as chloroplasts and mitochondria. Its best characterised activity is the generation of mature 5'-ends of tRNAs by cleaving the 5'-leader elements of precursor-tRNAs.
Source: Rfam by way of RNAcentral